UACGGAGGGGGCUAGCGUUGUUCGGAAUUACUGGGCGUAAAGCGCACGUAGGCGGCUUUGCAAGUUAGAGGUGAAAGCCCGGGGCUCAACUCUGGAAUUGCCUUUAAAACUGCAUCGCUAGAAUUGUGGAGAGGUAAGUGGAAUUCCGAGUGUAGAGGUGAAAUUCGUAGAUAUUCGGAAGAACACCAGUGGCGAAGGCGACUUACUGGACACAUAUUGACGCUGAGGUGCGAAAGCGUGGGGAGCAAACAGG
Molecule: ribosomal RNA, 253 nt
Filed under: uncultured bacterium
Lineage: Bacteria
Description: partial 16S ribosomal RNA
Rfam family: Bacterial small subunit ribosomal RNA
Source: RNAcentral